CGAUAGCUCAGUUGGUAGAGCAAAGGACUGAAAAUCCUUGUGUCACUGGUUCGAUUCCAGUUCGA
This 65-nucleotide transfer RNA is filed under the name human gut metagenome. It matches the Rfam family "tRNA", at positions 5 to 66 of the family's 71-position model. Rfam says of the family: Transfer RNA (tRNA) molecules are approximately 80 nucleotides in length. RNAcentral also lists the same sequence under 3 other names. The record is from RNAcentral.